GGCGCGCCUAACACAUGCAAGUCGAACGAGAGGCUCUUCGGAGUAGUAAAGUGGCGUACGGGUGAGUAAUACAUGGGUAAUCUGCCUUUGAGCGGGGGAUAACCAGCCGAAAGGCUGGCUAAUACCCCAUACGCUUCCGGUCCUUCGGGUAAGGAAGGAAAGCCGCAUCGUGGAUGUGGCACUCGAAGAUGGGCUCAUGGCCUAUCAGCUUGUUGGUGGGGUAACGGCCUACCAAGGCUACGACGGGUAGCUGGUCUGAGAGGACGAUCAGCCACACUGGCACUGAGAUACGGGCCAGACUCCUACGGGAGGCAGCAGUGAGGAAUAUUGCGCAAUGGGCGAAAGCCUGACGCAGCGACGCCGCGUGGGGGAAGAAGGUUUUCGGAUUGUAAACCCCUUUUAGGAGGAAAGAUGGGGUGGUUUUCCACCCGGACGGUACCUCCAGAAAAAGCCACGGCUAACUUCGUGCCAGCAGCCGCGGUAAUAC
RNAcentral lists this ribosomal RNA (487 nucleotides) under uncultured sponge symbiont PAWS62. RNAcentral's name for it is "bacterial SSU rRNA". It matches the Rfam family "Bacterial small subunit ribosomal RNA", at positions 41 to 526 of the family's 1533-position model. The record is from RNAcentral.